GAAAAAAAAAUAAUAAUAAAACAAGUUCUAUGAUUACAUUUAUUUUUAUAAGUAAUGAUAAUUACGUAACUUGAAGUGUAAUUGAUUUCAUCAUGUAAUUGUCAUUUCAUUAUAUUAAAUUUUUUUGUGUCACCAAACGAAGUAAUCAAAUAUGACCGAUUACAUUAUAUCUUUGAUGACAUCAUACUAAACACGGCCCAAGUUUUUUAAGCAUAGAGAUGAAACAGUAGCUGAUAUUGGAUUUUAGCUUAUAUUCCUUAAGUUAAGAAUUUUUCUUGCUUCACUUUAUCUCUCUCUGAUUGUUUGUGUGCAGUUUUGUAUUAUUUGAUUUCACGUUUUUUACGGUGUGCUUCUUUUUCUGUUAUUCAGAGGUGGUUGUGAGCCCUCCAUUU
RNAcentral lists this unclassified non-coding RNA (392 nucleotides) under Hevea brasiliensis (rubber tree). Lineage: Eukaryota; Viridiplantae; Streptophyta; Magnoliopsida; Malpighiales; Euphorbiaceae. The record is from RNAcentral.